RNAcentral lists this ribosomal RNA (408 nucleotides) under Triticum aestivum (bread wheat). RNAcentral describes it as "partial small subunit ribosomal RNA". Lineage: Eukaryota; Viridiplantae; Streptophyta; Magnoliopsida; Poales; Poaceae. The record is from RNAcentral.
AUGUAUUCUGCUGCUGUAGCACAACCCCCUUUUGUUGGAUAUUAUGUACUAUUAAUUAACCGAUGCAAGUCCAAGAAGGAUUGGCCGGUGCUGCCGACUGGCGUCAAGUUUGAUCCCAUGGAUCAGGAGCUGAUCAAGCACCUUGAGGCCAAACGCAAUUCCAGGGCAUUCAAAAGGGGCACGUGGACGCGUCGCAAGAUACAUUCUGAGUGCGGCAUGCACGCGAUGUGGCACAAGACCGGCAAUACCUUGCCGGUGAUGGUUAAUGGCUGGCAGACGGGUGACAAAAAGGUUCCGGUGCUGCACACCAACAAGAACUUCGACCAGCAGAGGACCAACUGGGUGAUGCACCAUUACCACCUCGGGGACCUCGAGCAAGAGAAGGAGCGGGAGCUGGUUCUCUGCUAG